UGCUAUUGUCUUACUGCUACAGCAGGGCUGGGGAUUGCAGUGUCCGCUGUUGCUGCUGAUACCUAGUCCUGCCUCCUGCAUCCCAGAAGAGCCACGUUGGCUUGCC
This 106-nucleotide microRNA precursor is filed under the name Mustela putorius furo (domestic ferret). Its description in RNAcentral is "miRNA (ENSMPUG00000021041.1)". Lineage: Eukaryota; Metazoa; Chordata; Mammalia; Carnivora; Mustelidae. The record is from RNAcentral.